CAAGCGUCCGAGUGAACGCUGCUGGUCUCGGAGAACAUGGUCACUUCGGGGGCCCGGUUUCUUGUACUGUAAUUCUAGAAUGAAUGCUCGAUCGUAGUGUUUGAACGUGCCACAUGGGGAAUCGCUAUGGCGACAGUGGAUAGGUAGGGUCCUUUGGCAUCGCUCAACGUGCAGCAGCCACCGGCAGAAGCUGUAGCGGGAAGAAGAACGAACGGAGUUCACUCGGCUAAUGUAGCUUGAUCGUCCUGCAUUCUUAGUAACUAUCAGUUCACCGGGACACUGGUAUUUUUUUAUAUGUAUGUUAUACUCCCUCCGUUUUAGUUUAUAAGUUCGGCACGUAUAUCUAGAUCGUCAAUUUGAUCAACUUAAUAAGAGACAUAUAUUACAAAAAAUAUAUCAUUGAAAACUUUAGAUGUUCUAUUUUUUAAUGAUAUAAUUUUU
This 441-nucleotide long non-coding RNA is filed under the name Hordeum vulgare. RNAcentral's name for it is "long non-coding RNA (HVUL_LNC021396)". Lineage: Eukaryota; Viridiplantae; Streptophyta; Magnoliopsida; Poales; Poaceae. The record is from RNAcentral.